This 460-nucleotide ribosomal RNA is filed under the name uncultured bacterium. RNAcentral describes it as "partial 16S ribosomal RNA". It matches the Rfam family "Bacterial small subunit ribosomal RNA", at positions 338 to 795 of the family's 1533-position model. The record is from RNAcentral.
CCUACGGGUGGCAGCAGUGAGGAAUAUUGGUCAAUGGGCGCGAGCCUGAACCAGCCAAGUCGCGUGAGGGAAGACGGCCCUACGGGUUGUAAACCUCUUUUGCCGGGGAGCAACGGGCGCCACGUGUGGCGCCCCUGAGAGUCCCCGGAGAAAAAGCAUCGGCUAACUCCGUGCCAGCAGCCGCGGUAAUCCGGAGGAUGCGAGCGUUAUCCGGUUUUAUGGGGUUUAAAGGGUGCGUAGGGGGCGCGUUAAGUCAGUGGUCAAAUUGAGGGGCUCAACCCCUUCCCGCCAUUGAAACUGGCGCUCUUGAGUGGAAGAGAGGUAUGCGGAAUGCGUGGUGUAGCGGUGAAAUGCAUAGAUAUCACGCAGAACCCCGAUUGCGAAGGCAGCAUGCCGGCUUCCGACUGACGCUGAAGCACGAAAGCGUGGGGAUCGAACAGGAUUAGAUACCCGAGUAGUC